CUUCUGACUUAGGUCUCCUUCUGAACCACUAACGGAGUAAAUGCUUGUAUACACCCCCAUUCAUAUAUGGUACCCAUAACCCCACUGCAUUGCUGGUUGCAUCAGAUGGAGCUGAUUAGAAUUAGAUGAGGUCAUAAGUGCGGAGCCCUCAUAAUGGGGGCUUAGACACGUGAGAGCUUGCUCCUGCUUUGUGUUCUCUGCCACGUGAGAUACAAGUCACCAGCUCAGCCUUGACUCAAAAUGCAGCACACAAGGAUCUAGAGCAGCUGCCAUCUUGCCACAUCAAGUGAUUCACUUCAAGUGCACAAGCUGCCACAGGACAAAGACAACCAGAGAAGAGCCCCCACCACAGAUCUAAGUCACAUCAUGAACCCAGAGGACUAGGAGGCAUUGGCAAGGUAAGAACCAGGUGAAGCCCACAGGCACCUGUUGGCAAAGUGACUUGGAAUCCACACUUCAUAUUGUCAUCAGCAUCCGAAACAUCCAAGACCCAGGGUUAGACGUUGCAAUGAAUGCAGGACAGACAUUUCACUUUGGCAAGCAUUCCUCCUUCCCUCCGAAUCAGCUCUGGGCAUUAAUGAAAAUGUCACUUUCCAGGGUAGCCUUCAUUAGAAGUUCACAGGGCUGAAGGAGCAGCCAUGGUAUCCCAUUAGUCCUACUAGAGUUAUCCUGUCCCUUUCUCUGAAAGCAAUAUCCAGAAGCAUUGGCAUCCUUCUGGGAAGUGGCGGGGUGGGGGGUAAGUGUGGGAGACGCAAAGUGAUUGCUACUGUCCUCUUGUCCUCCUUAUCAGGGUAGCUAUGGAAAAUAGCACCAUGCCUGCUGCCCUACCCCACCAGAACACCUUCCUUUGGCCUCUCAAGGCUAGCAUCCUAGAGCUUUGAGUUCCUCCAAAGCACAAAGGGGUAUGUCAGCUCUGUAGAGCUCUGCCUGGUUAACGAAGCCCAGGAGCCCGUUUCCUAGAAUGGGUAAUCUGAGAUGAAUCCUGUGUUAUUCCUGACUUCCAGUGGAAUUUGGCCAUGAUAUCUUACAGAUGAUCGGCUAAAUGCGCCAUCUAACUCUGGCUGCUUUCCCUUUCAAGCUUUUUCUCCUUGGAGUUUCCUGGGCUCACUUUAAGUCUUAGGAAGAGAAAUCGUCCAUCUCUGGUUCACUCCCCAGAUGGCCACAGUAGCCAAGGCUAGGCCAGGCUGAAACCAAAGCCUAGAACUCCAUACAGGUCUCCCACGUGGGUGGCAGGGGACCAAGCACUCAGACUGUCUGCUGCUUUUCCAGGCACACAAGCAACUCGCUGGAUAGGAAGUGGGACAGUUAGGACAUGAACUGGCACUCAUGGGAUACCGGAGCCAGGCAGCGGGUAUAGUUGCUGUGCCGCAACACUAGCCUGGCAUGCAUACUCAGUAAAGAUUCAAGUUAAUAAACUUUGAAAGUACAACUUUUGGAUUGUAGCAGUUUCCCCCCCCCAUAACCACCUCCUACCCACAAACCAUCCCAUCUCCUACUCACUUUCCUAUCCCAUUCUUAGGAUUCAUUUUUAAUUAUAUAUAGAAGAUCAACUGAGUGCAUACUAAGUAAAGAUUCUACUUUGUGUAUCUGUAGGUACAAUCUGUUAAAGUACUGUUUGAAGACUAAUUUUACCAUUCUCACAGUAAAACACAUUAAGGACAGAGGUCCUACAUGGGGAGCAAGUGCACAGUGACUCCUGUUGUUGAUGUAACAAUUGACACUCUUAUGAUGUCAGUAAUCACCCAAGGCUCUUGUCAUGAGCUGCCAAGGCUAUGGAAGCCUCUUGAGAUCACAAACUCCAACUUUAUUUCAACGGGGCCAUAAUCAAAGUGGAGGUUCUCUCCUCCCUUCAGAGAAAGGUACCUCCUCCUUUGAUGGCCCAUUUCCACUGGGAUCUCAUUCAGAUCUUUCAUUCGGGUCGUUUUUUGUCACAGUGUCUUGGCUUGGAAUCCCUUCUAAGUUUUUGCCAAGAACAGAUCCCAGGUUCUGAACUUAGGGAGUCCAAACUAAGACUCUGGUUUCAUUUCAUAGCUCAAAUGAAAGGACAUUUUAUUCCUUAGAUAAAUGUUAAAUGGUUAUAUUUAUAUCAAGAAUAUAAACAGGGUAUUUUAAAAUUGAAGAUAUUACAGGCUGUGUUGUUAAAUCCCAAGGUUUAAUUUGGGGUGCUAAUGACUGAACAGCAACGGAGCAAACUUACAGGUUUAUAGGUUGUCUAUGAAACAGUGUUUCCAUAACUUCAAACUUCACACACAGGUACACACACACACACACACACAAAAAAAAAUCACACCAGGCCAAUUUGUCCUUGCUCCUUUAGGUUGAAAACUUCAACCAAGGAAGAAACAAUCACAUUCAAAUACUUCCAGACCUCCUCAAAGGAGCAAUCCCCAAGACAAGACUGCAUUCUGCUGGAACAUUCAGAUGUGAAUCAAAGGUCAGGGUAGGCACAACAACUUCAUGCAUGGUGAUUGUCAGGUUUUCGGGAAACUGUCCAAUUCAUGUCCCCUGCUCUGACAAUCACUAGCUGGACGUGACCUGAAGAAUGAAGUCACCAAGAGCCCAACUAAAAUACAACCAAAUAUGGCCGAGUGUCCCACCAUGAGAUGCACCCAGCAGUCACAGGUUAACACUAAGGCAUUGCAGUCCAUCUUCCCAAACACAAACGUCAACGCAGGAUAGACUUGCACUCAGUUGUGUUGUCACCCAUGGAGAGUACACAAAGCUGCGGUAGAACAGAUUUUACAAGCUAACAAGGUCCCUGUCACCCAUGAUCAGAAUUAGCUGUAUCCGUUGGGCCACAAAUAAAAAUGUAGAACCCUCAGGUCUGUGCUUCCACACAGCAGUAUGCAAACCUUGCUCCCUCUGAAAUGCCACUGUCAGUUUUUAGCCCCUAGCAUUUCAUAACUCCAGGACAAGGAUUUGGAGAGGGCUCACCCAGCGUGAACUUUGCCAUUCCCACCUCCUCCUGCUACCUCUGUGAAGUACCAGCUCUGGCAGGUAAGUUUCCCCUCUGCUCAAGUGAUUCCUGGUCAGCCUGGACACAGAUCCACUCCCACGUCCCAUUGUGCAUGCUUGACAAAGUUGAUCAUUCACAAGCAGUAGGACCAGGGAACAAGAUCUUACAGGUCAAGAUGUUACUGAUGAUUUGUGAAUGACAAAGUAGAUAGUAUGUAGUUAUGGUCCCAGAUGAUUGGGAGAGAUACCAGCUUUCUUCAAGAGAAGUCACGGGGACUUAAGUUCCAAGAGAUCAGUUUGGGGAAUACACCCUUAUGUACCAGCCCCCUGAGGCCAGCCACUGUUUCAGUCUACUCCUGGAUCUGGCUGCACAGGACAGAUGUAACAGAAGAUGUCUAAGUAAAACACUGUGUAAUCACAUCUACAUCAGUACUAGAUUCUGCUCAUGUCAAGGAUAUAAUCUGAUUUUUCUUCAACAUAUGUUCAUGCAAACUAUGGGGACGUGGUCAUUAUCAGCUGUGUCUGAUGAAGACAUACUAAGCAGACCACUAGGUUGAAAAUAAAAAUGAUGUUUCAUGUACUAUUUAGUAGAGAAUCCUUUUCAAGGCUGCAGUAAUGUCAAAGAUUGCUUCAAUAAUUUGCAGACAUGGUCAACGUGGACAAGGGAUAGCAGUUACCUUGACACAGCAAGGAAACACUGAGUUCUGUGGUCUUAACUUUAGGUUGACCGUACUUAGGAAUACCUAGAAAUCUAGAAAAGCAUUAUUUUAGUUUGUGUAUGCGGAUGUUCCCAAACAAGACUAGUUUGAAUGGUCUAUGUGGGAAAGACCUGGCCUCAGUGCAGGGGCACACCCUUGACCCAUGAGACCUGGGACACAUUUGGUCUCUGCCUUGGACAUCAGUUGGUGGGCUUUGUGCUCUAGGACUGAAGGUAGUGGCCUCUCGUGGUACUCAGGCUCUUAGCCUCAGUUCACACUGCUAAAGGUAUCGCAGGGUCUCCAGCUGCAGGCCAGCUGCAGUGGAACUUCUCAGCUGCCAUAAUCACAUAAGCCAAUUAAAUCCCCCUUCAUACACACACACACACACACACACACGUGGAUACACUCUCCAUUCUGAGAACCAGCAAGUACAGAUUUUGGUACUCUGUGU
This is a non-coding RNA of Oryctolagus cuniculus (rabbit), 4104 nucleotides long. The record is from RefSeq and is a predicted model, not a curated record. Lineage: Eukaryota; Metazoa; Chordata; Mammalia; Lagomorpha; Leporidae.